UACGUAGGUGGCAAGCGUUGUCCGGAAUUAUUGGGCGUAAAGCGCGCGCAGGCGGCCUCUUAAGUCUGAUGUGAAAGCCACCGGCUCAACCGGGGAGGGCCAUUGGAAACUGGGAGGCUUGAGUAUAGGAGAGAAGAGUGGAAUUCCACGUGUAGCGGUGAAAUGCGUAGAGAUGUGGAGGAACACCAGUGGGGAAGGCGACUCUUUGUCCUAUAACUUACGCUGAGUCGCGAAAGCGUGGGGAGCAGACCUG
This 253-nucleotide unclassified non-coding RNA is filed under the name uncultured Caryophanales bacterium. RNAcentral's name for it is "uncultured Bacillales bacterium contains 16S-23S intergenic spacer region". It matches the Rfam family "Bacterial small subunit ribosomal RNA", at positions 524 to 776 of the family's 1533-position model. Lineage: Bacteria; Bacillati; Bacillota; Bacilli; Caryophanales. The record is from RNAcentral.